CCCGCACAAGCGGUGGAGCAUGUGGUUAAUUCGAUGAUACGCGAGGAACCUUACCUGGGCUCAAAUGUAUGUUGACGUAUUCUGAAAGGGAUACUUCUUCGGACAAUAUACAAGGUGCUGCAUGGUUGUCGUCAGCUCGUGCCGUGAGGUGUCGGGUUAAGUCCCAUAACGAGCGCAACCCCUAUCAUUAGUUGCCAUCAGGUCAAGCUGGGGACUCUAAAGGAACUGCCUACGCAAGUAGUGAGGAAGGCGGGGAUGACGUCAAAUCAGCACGGCCCUUACGUCCAGGGCUACACACGUGCUACAAUGGCCGAUACAGAGGGCAGCUACCUGGUGACAGGAUGCAAAUCUCCAAAGUCGGUCUCAGUUCGGAUCGGAGUCUGCAACCCGACUCCGUGAAGUUGGAUUCGCUAGUAAUCGCGCAUCAGCCAUGGCGCGGUGAAUACGUUCCCGGGCCUU
RNAcentral lists this ribosomal RNA (459 nucleotides) under uncultured Sphingobacteriales bacterium. Its description in RNAcentral is "bacterial SSU rRNA". It matches the Rfam family "Bacterial small subunit ribosomal RNA", at positions 920 to 1382 of the family's 1533-position model. Lineage: Bacteria; Pseudomonadati; Bacteroidota; Sphingobacteriia; Sphingobacteriales. The record is from RNAcentral.